RNAcentral lists this ribosomal RNA (253 nucleotides) under uncultured bacterium. Its description in RNAcentral is "partial 16S ribosomal RNA". It matches the Rfam family "Bacterial small subunit ribosomal RNA", at positions 524 to 776 of the family's 1533-position model. The record is from RNAcentral.
UACGGGGGGGGCAAGCGUUGUUCGGAAUUACUGGGCGUAAAGGGCUCGUAGGCGGCCAACUAAGUCAGACGUGAAAUCCCUCGGCUUAACCGGGGAACUGCAUCUGAUACUGGAUGGCUUGAGUUCGGGAGAGGGAUGCGGAAUUCCAGGUGUAGUGGUGAAAUGCGUAGAGAUGCGGAGGAACACCAGUGGCGAAAGCGACUUUCUGGUCCUUAACUGACGCUGAGGCGCGAAAGCAUGGGGAGCGAACGGG